ACAUGGAUAAACAAAUUCAAUUACAAAGUAAAGUGUUAAGUGUAAGAAAAUUAUUGUAAAAAUGACUGAAUUGUAAAGCUUAUAAAAGUUAAAUAAUGUUAAAUAAUGUGUGAAAAUGAAAGUGGUUAUAUGAAAGUGAAUAAGUGUAUAACUUUAAUACUUUGUAAACUACACUUUAAUACUUUGUAAACUAAUAUUUAUGUUAAUAAGGACCGCAUAAAUAAGUGUGUAAGAUUUUAAAUGUAAUGGGAUGAUAAGUGAAAGUGAUAAUAAAGUCAUUAAUAAUGCCCAUGUAGGCAAGAUUAAAUCUUGUAGUUAAUUAAAAACAAAGCACUUUGGUGCAUAAUAGAGAAAGUGGUAUCGCAAUACAAAAUAGAGAAAGUGAUAAAAGCACAUCAACGCAUAAUAGUAAAAAUGGGACUUCGAUACAAACCAGUCUUAAUGCACUUCGGUGCAUAGCGAUAAUGGCACUACAAUGCAUAUUAGUGGUUUUUUUUACUUCAGUAGAUUACAGUGUUUAAGCACAUUUGUGCUAGUUAUUCAGUGUUAUAUUGUAUAUCCUACUCGCUUAGCCAAGUCUAUAGUGGGUCUUUAUAAGGUAAUAAGUGAAAUUGAUAGUGAAACGAUAAGCUAAAAUGUGUAAGAAUGUAUAUGAAAUCUAAUGUUGAAUGUUGAUUUAAUUUUAAUUCAUUAUGUUAACCUAAUGAUAAUUUUACAUGUUAAAUUUAAAUAUAUUCAAAUAAUUUUGAAUUCUUGAGUACUUACUAUGUUAUAAAUGGUUUAACGCAUUGUUUCUAACGCAUAAGCUGAAGUUCAUUUGGAGUAACUAGUCUCUAUCACAUCUCAUCACACUUCAAGAACUUGGAAAUAGUAUGAUAAUUUAUUUUAGUAAUAGGCAAUGGCAUGUACAUAAGCUAAUUUAAAGUUUCUACAUAAGGGUGAAUUUAGAUGGCCAGUGUGUUUACUUAAGGUUAGUGUAAAAAUAACGGUGAAGUAAAAUUAGAUACUGUAGUGAUACUAUAGUGUGAGACAAAAAAUAAGCUAAAUGCACCACACCCCACCACCUAUUCAAAUCCACCCUAAGUUUCCUAGUAAUGACAUUUAACUAAACUUACAUCUUUUGAUAGUAUCCUGAACUUUGGUAAAAACAUACAUCUGCCGUGUGAUGUUUUAGAUGUUAAUUCGAUUUAUUUUACUGUUUAUAAGUGUUUAUUGAAGUUUGGGGUUGAUUGGCGGCCAACGAGGUACAUUUUAUGGUGAUUUCGGAUAAGUUUUGGUCUCCCCUGCAUCCAAGGUCCGAUACCUUCACUUCGGAUGCGGUACUAGCUUGGUGGAAUGCUAAAAGGAAUAGUAAUUAUACAGAGGUAUGUACCUCUACUUCUUGUUGCCCUGAUUUUGUUAUUUUAGACCCGAACAAGCCCCUAAUGGUCACGAUUGACCUCAUAUCGUACUGGAAGAUUAGAAUUGUUUCAAAUUACUUCUAAAGGCCUCCAUAAUGAAUAAAUAAAGUGAUAAAAUUAGAACUAGAAUAUAAUUAACUUAGUUUCCAAAUGUGGCAUUCUUUCUCCGGUUAGAGGUUCAACUAGGGUAAGAGUGCUAAAAAUAAUAGUUGGAACCAAGAAAACAUAUGAACAACUUUCCCUAAGGUGAGCGUGAUAUCAUUUCUCUUUAGUCUUCAAUGACAAUCUAGAGGGGCGUGAUACUGAGGAGAAUACCAUGCAAUCAAGACUACAUAAAAUGAGUAAAUUGGCAGCUUACAAUCAUAAGCAACUUAAAUCCAUGCACAUGUCACCUAGCUUUUUUUUUUUUACUUUUUUAAAAGUAAAGAAAGUUAAUACAUUAUGUUAAUACUUACACACUAUGUUUGAUUCGUUGUAAUAAAAUAGAAUUGUAAUGUAAUUUAAUUGUCUGGUUGAAUGGAAUAGAAUAAAACUAUAGUAACAUUCUUUUGUUUGGUUUAAUAAAAUGAUGUUGUAAUAGUAUAAAAAAAAAGUUAAAAUAACCAAAACAUCUUUAGCAAAUUUUUUUAAAUAGAUAAUUAUUGUUAUUGUAAUUAAAUUAUAGUAAAAUUAUUAAAUAUAAUUUAAUUAAAAAUAAAAAAUAAUUUUAAUAUAAUUAUUAUUAAUAUAUAAAUAACAAUAUAUAAUAUUAGUAAUAAAUUAUAAAACAAAAGAACUUUGAUAAAGCCAUCAUCUUCAUUAUCGUUUACCAUUUCCAUCUUUUUUUUCCACCAACCAUCCGCUAAAUUGCUUUUUCUUUUUUUACUUUGUUCUUAUCCCUUUCCAGAUCUUUUUCUUCUCUCUUUUCAGAAACUUUUACAAACCUAGUUUUCCGAUCAAUUUUCCCACGAGUUUAUCAUUAUUUGUUGUCGCCGACCAACUUCUUUCACUCUCCAAAAACUAUCAGAAAUAGACGUUCAUCUUCUCUCUUUGAUAAUCUAAUUAUUUUCUUCUAAAUCAACCUCUAAAAUAGCAAAUCUAAUUUUAAAGAGAAAAAAAAAUAAAAAUCCCAACUUUUCACUUCUAUGUCUCUACUGGAGAUCAUCGACCGUUUUUAGAUGAUUGCAUGUUUGUGUUUGAGGAAGAUGCUGAUUUUAUGGUCUUCUUUGUUUGCUCACAGGAGAGAUUACCUUGUAACCUGCUAUUCCUGUUGGAUUGAAAGCUGAUUUUGUAAGGUAAGAACGAGUAAUUUCCACUAAAACUCCAACUUGCAAUGGAACUGUUGUCAUCCUGUCUUGCCUAUUUGAUCAAGACUUUCCUUCCUGUCUUAGGAAAGAAAGUGUUUAGGACUAUUGACUCGGCUUGGGAAGAAGUCAAAACAUCGACAACAUAAAUAUGGAUUCUGCAGUUGGGCACUUUUAAGGACUCGAAAUGGCUCGUUAAGUUUCUUUUUUUUCCCGAUAAGUUGUGCUCUGGCAUU
This 2919-nucleotide long non-coding RNA is filed under the name Gossypium barbadense (sea-island cotton). RNAcentral's name for it is "long non-coding RNA (GBAR_LNC000524)". The record is from RNAcentral. Lineage: Eukaryota; Viridiplantae; Streptophyta; Magnoliopsida; Malvales; Malvaceae.